Long non-coding RNA from Puntigrus tetrazona (Sumatra barb), 383 nucleotides. RefSeq lists it as uncharacterized. The record is from RefSeq and is a predicted model, not a curated record. The transcript is spliced from 2 exons. Lineage: Eukaryota; Metazoa; Chordata; Actinopteri; Cypriniformes; Cyprinidae.
UGAAGAGGCCUCCCAGCAGUGCUCCGCUGGUGAAGAGGACCACAGAAGAGAGCGUGAUCGGGCCGGAUGAGGAACCGAAAUCUCUUUCUAUAGAGUAACGAGCCAAAGAAUAGAUACUGUUGACCUGCAAGUAUUUAAAAGGAUCCAGUUCUGUAGAUACUUCAUGAAGUAAUCCAGUGUCCAAGACACAAUGCUUGGGAGCGAAUUUUGGAUGAUCUAUCCAUGAACAACAAAAAACAAGCAUACGUCAAAGUGCAACUUCAGAUAAUUCAUUUUGUUGGGCACUUAACACAAAAAAAAAUAUGAAUGCAUCUAGCAUAUUUGUACUGUGUUUCUGAGAUAAAGAAAUAAAGCCGUGCAUACCUUUGCAACUGUUUUCCCAA